Molecule: small RNA, 107 nt
Filed under: Marmota monax (woodchuck)
Lineage: Eukaryota; Metazoa; Chordata; Mammalia; Rodentia; Sciuridae
Source: RNAcentral
GCUGGGCAUGGUAGUGCAUGCCUAUAAUCCCAGAGACUCCGGAGGCUGAGGCAGGAGGACUGUGAGUUCAAAAUCAGCCUCAGCAACUUAGUGAGAACUUGUCUCAA